This 236-nucleotide ribosomal RNA is filed under the name Streptomyces sp. RSBAUOCAS0003A. RNAcentral describes it as "partial 16S ribosomal RNA". It matches the Rfam family "Bacterial small subunit ribosomal RNA", at positions 274 to 522 of the family's 1533-position model. Lineage: Bacteria; Bacillati; Actinomycetota; Actinomycetes; Kitasatosporales; Streptomycetaceae. The record is from RNAcentral.
CGACGACGGGUAGCCGGCCUGAGAGGGCGACCGGCCACACUGGGACUGAGACACGGCCCAGACUCCUACGGGAGGCAGCAGUGGGGAAUAUUGCACAAUGGGCGCAAGCCUGAUGCAGCGACGCCGCGUGAGGGAUGACGGCCUUCGGGUUGUAAACCUCUUUCAGCAGGGAAGAAGCGCAAGUGACGGUACCUGCAGAAGAAGCACCGGCUAACUACGUGCCAGCAGCCGCGGCG